Molecule: ribosomal RNA, 463 nt
Filed under: uncultured bacterium
Lineage: Bacteria
Description: bacterial SSU rRNA
Rfam family: Bacterial small subunit ribosomal RNA
Source: RNAcentral
GAGCCCGCACAAGCAGUGGAGUAUGUGGUUUAAUUCGACGCAACGCGAAGAACCUUACCAGGAUUUGACAUCCCAGGAACCCGGCGUAAUGGCUGGGGUGCCCCUUCGGGGGAAUCUGGAGACAGGUGGUGCAUGGUUGUCGUCAGCUCGUGUCGUGAGAUGUUGGGUUAAGUCCCGCAACGAGCGCAACCCUUACUGUCAGUUGCUACGCAAGAGCACUCUGACGGGACUGCCGUUGACAAAACGGAGGAAGGUGGGGAUGACGUCAAAUCAUCAUGCCCCUUACAUUCUGGGCUACACACGUACUACAAUGGCGAGGACAAAGGGACGCGAUGUCGCGAGGCGGAGCAAAUCCCAUAAAAAUCGCCCCAGUUCAGAUCGCAGGCUGCAACCCGCCUGCGUGAAGUCGGAAUUGCUAGUAAUCGCGGAUCAGCAUGCCGCGGUGAAUACGUUCCCGGGCUUU